UUUUGUCUCCUUCCCACAGUGAGUCUGCAGGCUGCGUGUCACUCACGUUCAGCUAAGACGUAGUGCCCCAUGGCUCCUCCUGUGGAGACAAGAGACCCAGGAAAGAGGCAUCACAAACCUAGGCACCAUCUUGCCUCUUCUCUCUUCCUUAUUUUCCUCAUUCACCCAUCUCAAUUUAGACCUGGGCACUAUUGGAUUUCAAGAACCAUUAUCUCUCAUCUGGAAAUGCUUAUUGGCUUUCUAACUGGUCUCCUCACCUCUCAUCUAACUUCUUAACAACACAUUCACCAUAUAAGGGAGAUCGUGGUCCUCCUUUCUUAGGAUCCUUCAAUGACACCCCAGUGAUCAUAACCCAAUAUCCCAAAAGACCCUUGGACUCUGUAUGAGCUGGCUUCUUUCUGAUUCUCUUUUCCCUACACCACAGAUGUUCAGGGGGUAGAAAUGCAUAAUUGGUGAGUGAUAGCUACGCAAACUCAGGGUUAAGGUACAGUAAUUAUUUCUAAUCUCCCAGUAUGCCUUAUACUCUCCUACUUGGCAUGGUUGCUCCGUCUGUGUAGACCUCCCAUCAUCUUCAACCUCACCUAAUGGAAUCCAGCUUCUCCUUCAAGAUCCAGAAGGCUAUCUUGAUCCCCAGCUGAAUGUGAUCAUUCUUUCCUUUGACACCCUAAGCAUUUGCUUCCUGCCUGCUUUAGGACCUCAUGGGGUCUUCUUUAACUACAUUUACUUGCUAUCAAUUUCAUUCCCUACCAGAUUUGGGUUCUGAGAAUAGCCACAGUGACUUCUCAACCUCAAAGCCCCUGUACUACCUUAAACAGCUCUUGCAAAAUAGUAGGUGCUCUGAAGAUGUUUGUUGAAUUAGAGACUUUCAUUCUGGGGAGAACCAUUAUUUUCUGUCUCCCAGGGAGCUGCUGGUGUCCCCAAAGAAUAUAAAUGAGAAAAAUGCUUCCCAUGGAUGCCAGAUCCCCUCUGCCCCUCUUCCCACUGUGCCCUGGGGCAGAGGUACUAAGAGACUUCCCCCUUGUUCCUACUCACUUGAACCCUGCCUCUUCCUUAAUAUUAUGAACAAAAUUCCAAUGAACAAGAUGACGACAAAAACAGCAAUUCCACUGAUGACUCCAAUGACUAGGGUGCCAGACGGUGAGGGCUCUAAAACAGAAAAAGCAAGUUAAAGCCUUUGAUUGCCACCCUCAGCCCACCCCCUAACAAAGAGCAGAUCCUCAUCUCACUGCCAUAAUU
RNAcentral lists this long non-coding RNA (1236 nucleotides) under Homo sapiens (human). RNAcentral's name for it is "HSALNT0102845". Lineage: Eukaryota; Metazoa; Chordata; Mammalia; Primates; Hominidae. The record is from RNAcentral.